GCCAGAGUGGCGGAAUUGGCAGACGCGACGGAUUCAAAAUCCGUUGCCCGCAAGGGUGUGUGGGUUCGAGUCCCUCCUCUGGUA
This 84-nucleotide transfer RNA is filed under the name Planctomycetales bacterium. RNAcentral describes it as "tRNA-Leu". It matches the Rfam family "tRNA". Rfam says of the family: Transfer RNA (tRNA) molecules are approximately 80 nucleotides in length. Their secondary structure includes four short double-helical elements and three loops (D, anti-codon, and T loops). The record is from RNAcentral. Lineage: Bacteria; Pseudomonadati; Planctomycetota; Planctomycetia; Planctomycetales.